Prinia subflava (tawny-flanked prinia) is the source of this 4676-nucleotide RNA transcript. It is a transcript of the gene named coiled-coil domain containing 66, with no coding region annotated. The transcript has 20 exons. The record is from RefSeq and is a predicted model, not a curated record. NCBI's taxonomy places the organism in Eukaryota, Metazoa, Chordata, Aves, Passeriformes, Cisticolidae.
GGGAGGGUGCAGGAAGGUGUGUGGGACUCCGUGCCCCCGGGACGGGCUGGUGCAGGAUCCCAUUCCCAGCGCUCCGGGCCCGCGGGAUGCGGGGGGCUCCACUGGGAUCCCAUCUCCAGCGCUUCGGGCCCGGGGGAUGAGCGGGACUCCAUCGGGAUCCCACCGCCAGCGCUCCGGGCCCGGGGGAUGAGCGGGACUCCAUCGGGAUCGCAUCGCCAGCGCUCCGGGCCCGGGGGAUGAGCGGGACUCCAUCGGGAUCCCAUUGCCAGCGCUCCUGCCCCGCGGGAUGAACAGAACUUCAUCUCCCGGCGCUCCCCAGCGCGCCACCCCGCAGUGCUGCCGAUGCCCAUUGGUGGAGGCUCCUCGAGGACAGCCAAUCGGCGCGCGGCUCUUUCAGCGGAGCGCGGAGCUGAGGGCGGGCGAUGCGCGGGGCUGCACCGCCGGCGGCAGCGCCAUGGAGCUGGGCGAUGGACUGAAGCUCAAAACUGAAGUGCUGGAUGGAAAGCCUAGGCUAAUUUUAGCUUCUUCUGAUAAAUCAAAGCCUGCCAUGAGGAUGGGUAAUAAAGCCAGAGCACCUAAACAGGCAUUGAGAAUAAAGCACACUGGGCUUAUCUUGGGGCCAACACAAAAUGCUUGUAUCAAGCAGGAAAAUUUAACAAAACUGAGGAGUGAAUCAAGCUUAUCAAUGACAAAAGGUGAAAAUCUGCAUGUUAAUAAACACUCCUCGCAUGAAGCCACAACUAAAGGUUACUCUUUGGUUUUCCAAAGAAAUAAGACAAACAGAUAUCCUGAUUCAGACGAUCCUAAUAUUGUGAAAAAAACUAAACACAAACCUCAAGCCCCACAUGUAUCAGCUGAAGACUUAAAAAGUUUGGUGUGUUUAACACAAGCACAGCUUCAACAGAUUUUGAUGAUUGUUAAAGAAGGAAGAAGCAUCUCUGAGACUCAUAAUGAAAAGCAAGAGGAAAUGGCUACUAAUGAUGCAUCAGAAGAAAAUGUUGUAGCAUCACUCGAAAAAGAUUGUGAAGUUCCAGAUGAAGCAAACUCUGAUUCAGGCAGGAAAGAAGAAGCACAUCCACAGCCAGGACAGAAAGUUAGAAAGGAUUUAUGGAAACCUGCUGACUUGUUUAGUACCUUGGGUGAAAGAGAAGGGGAGAAAGCCUUAUUGGAAUUUAAAAAGACCCAAUGGAAGAAGGAAUUAGAUGAACAGAUAGCACUGAAGAAGAAACUGAAAGAAACUGUGGAGGGAGAGGUGGGUUUUUUCUGGGCAAAACUUGGCAGUAAUAAAACCCAUAAAGUGGAAACACCUGACCCAGACCAGACAGUGUUUCCAGCUGACUCAGUUCAUGGCACUGAGGCAAGCUCUGUCUGUACAGCUGCUUUAGCCACACAGGCUGAUGGAGUUGCACUGAAUGUUCCAAGAGCUCCAGCUGGGCAGUCUUCUGACUUCAGUUCUUCUGACUUUCCAGCUGGCAGUCGCACAGCAUUGGUUUUCAGGGAAGCUGUGCCACAGGAGCAACCUUUUAGUGUUUUGAAACCUGAGCAACAGAAGAAGUGGCUUGAAGAGUUGGACAAGCAGAAAGAAGAAGCUAAACUACGAAAAAUAGAAGAAAAACUUAAUUUAUCAAAGGCAGAAGAGCAUGACAGAUGGGAAAUGCAUUUUGAUUCUUUUAAGAACCACUUUAAUGUUAAUGCACAACACCCCUUAAAUGGAAUGCGCAGAAAGCCAGAAAAUCUUUCCCUGUUACCUGACCCCAAGGACCCGACUGCUUUCAUUCACCCUUUGUCACCUGCAGCUUUAGGCAACCUCAUGCCCUUACAGAUGGUAACUGCAGAAAAAGCUGCUAAAAAUGGUGCUUUGGAGCAAAGUCAGAGAGUCAGUUUCCUCCGUUCCAUGACAGCUUUGCUGGACCCUGCACAGAUUGAGGAGAGGGACAGGAGGCGGCAGAAGCAGCUGGAACAUCAGAAAGCAAUAAUGGCUCAGGUGGAAGAAAAACGGAAGAAGAAACAACUGGAAGAAGAGCAGAGAAAAUGGGAAGAACAACAGGAAGAGCUGCGCCUGACACGACAAAAAGCACAACUGCAGAAAGAGUUUGAAGAAGAAAUGCUCAAACAAAAACAAAAGGAGGAACUUGUAACUCUUAAAGCCAAAGAGCUUUAUCAGACAAUGGAGAAAGCUCAGGAAUUAGCUGAGGGAUCAAAACAAGAACAGCACACUCCAGACUUGGCUCAGAAGGCACAUGACAUUUCAGCACUUCAGAACCAGAACAGUCUUGGUGGUGGUGAUACAGAGUUUGGAAACUGUAAUUUUGGCAUUUCAGCACAAAGUACUGAUUUCCCUGAUGGUGUGGAGAGUCCCCCUGAGCAGCAGGCUUCCCCUCGGAAGGACACUGCGGUGCAGACAGAUUGCUUUAAUACUUCAGCAUACUUUGAGUCAGCUGAGGAAAGAACUGCAUGUUGUGAAUUGCCUGAUAUUUCCAUGGAAUAUAAAGAAACCUCUAAAAGCAAAAAAUACCAGAAGGAAAUGCAGUAUAUGGAUAAAAAUAAACUUUCAGGAAAAGAGACUGGUGGUAUUUACAGUGAUCUAUAUGAGCAAUAUGCAAGAAAAGACAGACACCUUAAAUCUUCAGAAAAAUACAGCAAAAGACCUGACUGGAACAUAAACAAGCCUGGGAAAAGAUACAUUCCGGCCUCAGAAAGAUACCCUAAAGCACUACAGAAACAGAGGGAAGAGAGCAAAGUGCGCCGCCAAAUGGAGCUGCUGCAGUUGGUCGAAAGGAACAGCCCUGGGCAGCUCAGUGCGAGAAGGGAGGGGCACUCAGCCAGGUCUCUCUCACCUCGGGAAGAAACAGCUGUGAAGAGAAAGAGCCAAAGAGGCAGGAAGGAAGAAAAAUUUCACAAGAAUCACUUGAAUGCUGAAAGAUCUGAAUCACCACAGGUUCCAGCAGUUAGGAACAGAUUACUCCAAGUACAGCGGAGACAGAUCCAGGCUUCUCAUUUCCUGGUGCGUAACCACCAGGGUGGACGAGAGGACGCCCAGGCAGACUCCCAGCAGAGGAGCUCCCCCCCUGCCGUUGCCGAGGCCUUGAGACCUCCCUCGGCACAGUUCGUGCCCUACGUGCGGACACGGGAGGUUUAUUGCCUCCAUCCAGAAGCACCACUGAGCCAACCCUCAACACAUCACCCCCACGAUUCUUCCCAAAUGCCACGACAGAUUUUUAGCUCAGAUCAUGUUAGAGAUCCUCUUCUAAAUCCUGAUGUAGUUACAAUCAGAGAGAGACAAGAAGCAAUUCUCAAAGGAUUAUCAAAAUUAAGACAGGUCACAGCAGGAAUAGGAACUAGCAACAGACUCACUUUCCUCACUGAAAUCAAAAGUCAGUGGAUAAGCUGAGCAAAGUGAAUUAUUUGUGAAAAAGAAGGGCCAGAGUUUAAUAAAGAGGAGCACACCCCCCUCACCCCCAGGGCCUCCUGCAGAAGCAGAAGGAGUUGGAAAACACUCUGAUUCCCAUUGUAGCUCAAGAGAACUUCAUGCCACCGUUUUGAGAGGUGCAUAUGAAUGUUCUGAAUAUGGAAAUGCACAGCACUUUGCUACUCGAAUUAAUUAUGAGCCACCUCUUUUUUAUGAAAAUUAUGAGAAUUUUGAUAGACUAUGGGGUCAUGUUACUUUAAACUUGUGAUGGUUUGUCUCUUUAGAAUGGUUUUCAUGCUACCUGAAGACAUGUCCAUUUAAUACAAACCACCAAAAACAUAGAAGUAAACUGUUACAUGGGGUUUUGUAGAACUCAAGUGUGCGAAUUUUGAUAAAUAAAAAGAUAAGGAGGCAUUCUGAAUGGCUGUAGUCAUCUUUUGUGAAAAAUGAAUUUCACUUUCCUGGUAAAAUUUAAAAAGGUUUAAUAAAAAGACAAUAGGAGACAGAAAGCAAAGGGUCGACUGGGUGUCUUGGCAUUCAGCCAAGACACCCCUACUAUCUUGGAGAGAUUCUUUAAAUACUCUAUUACAUCAGCCUGUUGCAUAUUCACCUUUUUCAAAGAACAGUUUAGCAUGGCCACUCCUUGGGACUGCCCUUUCAGAGCACGCAUGUUUCUUGGUUGUGGUUUUAUUAUCACCUCGAGUUUGGGCUGUGGUCCACACUUUCUUCAGACAGCAGGUGCUGAUAAUUUGGUAUAUGAAUAGCAGGGUCCCCAUCACAUGUUCAUUGGAUUUAUCCCAACCAAACAGUUCAAUUACAAACAUAACAAUAUAUCAGCUAUCCGACUACCACAUCUAAGCAAAAACCAUAAAAUCUACCCUUGUAGCAGAGUUACUUUAAAAUCAUACAUAUAACAUUCAUUUUAAUAUUUGCAAAAAGCCAGUAAUAUAAUAUGGAUUUAAAACAUCGUUGUUGGCUUCUUUAACUAUACAAAACUGCUUGUAUUUCAAUAUUCAGCCAACUUUUAGGCUUAUGCAGUGAUUAUCAUCUCAAGUACUCCCAGAUUUUAAGACCACAGCUCAUCACACAAUAUGGUACAAUUCGUUGAUAAAAGGCUGUUCUUUUUUUCAGAAAAAAUCACUUGGCAUGUUUGGGGGGAGGGUAACAAGUGUUACACGAGUCUGGUACUGGUUCUCAACUUGAAUAAAUAAAUCCACUUAUAAUAAAUGUAAAGCAAAUUCCAAAUUAAUAAAUGAUUUUAUUAAUU